GAUAACAUAUCUUACAGAAAACCAUUCAGAUAACAUACGAGUAUAUAUAUAGACGUGUGUGUGUGUAUGUGUGAAGAACAAAUUUGAGAAGCUUGAUCAUCGCAGUUAACAUAAUAAGUUUGCUUAUUAUAUAUAACUUAUGUUUUACUUUUACUUGCACCUGAAUCAAUCAAUUUGUACAUAUAUCCUUCUCAUUAUAUUUUGUAUAGAUAGAUUUCCAAGUAGAUUAUUUAAUUUGUUGAUAUAACUAAGCGAUUCAUUUCAAUUUUUG
RNAcentral lists this long non-coding RNA (271 nucleotides) under Panax ginseng (ginseng). Its description in RNAcentral is "long non-coding RNA (PGIN_LNC008153)". The record is from RNAcentral. Lineage: Eukaryota; Viridiplantae; Streptophyta; Magnoliopsida; Apiales; Araliaceae.